RNAcentral lists this ribosomal RNA (1460 nucleotides) under Klebsiella variicola. RNAcentral's name for it is "bacterial SSU rRNA". It matches the Rfam family "Bacterial small subunit ribosomal RNA". Lineage: Bacteria; Pseudomonadati; Pseudomonadota; Gammaproteobacteria; Enterobacterales; Enterobacteriaceae. The record is from RNAcentral.
UCAGAUUGAACGCUGGCGGCAGGCCUAACACAUGCAAGUCGAGCGGUAGCACAGAGAGCUUGCUCUCGGGUGACGAGCGGCGGACGGGUGAGUAAUGUCUGGGAAACUGCCUGAUGGAGGGGGAUAACUACUGGAAACGGUAGCUAAUACCGCAUAACGUCGCAAGACCAAAGUGGGGGACCUUCGGGCCUCAUGCCAUCAGAUGUGCCCAGAUGGGAUUAGCUGGUAGGUGGGGUAACGGCUCACCUAGGCGACGAUCCCUAGCUGGUCUGAGAGGAUGACCAGCCACACUGGAACUGAGACACGGUCCAGACUCCUACGGGAGGCAGCAGUGGGGAAUAUUGCACAAUGGGCGCAAGCCUGAUGCAGCCAUGCCGCGUGUGUGAAGAAGGCCUUCGGGUUGUAAAGCACUUUCAGCGGGGAGGAAGGCGGUGAGGUUAAUAACCUCAUCGAUUGACGUUACCCGCAGAAGAAGCACCGGCUAACUCCGUGCCAGCAGCCGCGGUAAUACGGAGGGUGCAAGCGUUAAUCGGAAUUACUGGGCGUAAAGCGCACGCAGGCGGUCUGUCAAGUCGGAUGUGAAAUCCCCGGGCUCAACCUGGGAACUGCAUUCGAAACUGGCAGGCUAGAGUCUUGUAGAGGGGGGUAGAAUUCCAGGUGUAGCGGUGAAAUGCGUAGAGAUCUGGAGGAAUACCGGUGGCGAAGGCGGCCCCCUGGACAAAGACUGACGCUCAGGUGCGAAAGCGUGGGGAGCAAACAGGAUUAGAUACCCUGGUAGUCCACGCUGUAAACGAUGUCGAUUUGGAGGUUGUGCCCUUGAGGCGUGGCUUCCGGAGCUAACGCGUUAAAUCGACCGCCUGGGGAGUACGGCCGCAAGGUUAAAACUCAAAUGAAUUGACGGGGGCCCGCACAAGCGGUGGAGCAUGUGGUUUAAUUCGAUGCAACGCGAAGAACCUUACCUGGUCUUGACAUCCACAGAACUUUCCAGAGAUGGAUUGGUGCCUUCGGGAACUGUGAGACAGGUGCUGCAUGGCUGUCGUCAGCUCGUGUUGUGAAAUGUUGGGUUAAGUCCCGCAACGAGCGCAACCCUUAUCCUUUGUUGCCAGCGGUUAGGCCGGGAACUCAAAGGAGACUGCCAGUGAUAAACUGGAGGAAGGUGGGGAUGACGUCAAGUCAUCAUGGCCCUUACGACCAGGGCUACACACGUGCUACAAUGGCAUAUACAAAGAGAAGCGACCUCGCGAGAGCAAGCGGACCUCAUAAAGUAUGUCGUAGUCCGGAUUGGAGUCUGCAACUCGACUCCAUGAAGUCGGAAUCGCUAGUAAUCGUAGAUCAGAAUGCUACGGUGAAUACGUUCCCGGGCCUUGUACACACCGCCCGUCACACCAUGGGGAGUGGGUUGCAAAAGAAGUAGGUAGCUUAACCUUCGGGAGGGCGCUUACCACUUUGUGAUCAUGAUG